RNAcentral lists this long non-coding RNA (437 nucleotides) under Pogona vitticeps (central bearded dragon). RNAcentral describes it as "lncRNA (ENSPVIG00000005929.1)". The record is from RNAcentral. Lineage: Eukaryota; Metazoa; Chordata; Lepidosauria; Squamata; Agamidae.
CUGUAUUUGUAGAUCCAGGAACUUCAGUUCAGAUUCUCAGAAAUGGAAGAAAAUAAAUUAGAAAUGUUAGAACAACGAAGACCCUCAGUUGCUUCUUCAGACUUCUGUACUGAGGAUGAACCAGAGGCAGAAUCUACAAACCUGAACCGAAGCACUUUUGCAUGGAUGUGCAUUGCAUUACUUCUCCUUUCCAGAGACAAAGAAUCAUCUCCCACCUCCCAGAAGGGUUGACAGCAAGCCGGGGAAAGAGGCGCUCCCUGCAUGAGACCCAGAGGCCUUUUCUUUCCACUUGAUCUGUGUUACACCGGAUUACGUCGAGGUGUGUUAUUUUACAUCACAGCAUGCUGGAAAUCGGCGUGAAGCGAGGCAGGGGGACCAAAGAGAGCACAGGGGCACGCAAAACCCUCAAAUAAAGGAAAGAUUUGCCAGAACUGCCA